GGGUCGGUGGUCUAGGCCGGUUAUGACACCGCCUUCACACGGCGGAAGUCGGCGGUUCAAAUCCGCCCCGACCCA
This 75-nucleotide transfer RNA is filed under the name Natronomonas sp. RNAcentral describes it as "tRNA-Val". It matches the Rfam family "tRNA". Rfam says of the family: Transfer RNA (tRNA) molecules are approximately 80 nucleotides in length. Their secondary structure includes four short double-helical elements and three loops (D, anti-codon, and T loops). Further hydrogen bonds mediate the characteristic L-shaped molecular structure. tRNAs have two regions of fundamental functional importance: the anti-codon, which is responsible for specific mRNA codon recognition, and the 3' end, to which the tRNAs corresponding amino acid is attached (by aminoacyl-tRNA synthetases). tRNAs cope with the degeneracy of the genetic code in two manners: having more than one tRNA (with a specific anti-codon) for a particular amino acid; and 'wobble' base-pairing, i.e. permitting non-standard base-pairing at the 3rd anti-codon position. The record is from RNAcentral. RNAcentral also lists the same sequence under 1 other name. Lineage: Archaea; Methanobacteriati; Methanobacteriota; Halobacteria; Halobacteriales; Natronomonadaceae.